AUAGCGUAUAUUAAAGUUGUUGCGGUUAAAAAGCUCGUAGUUGGAUUUCUGCUGAGGACGACCGGUCCGCCCACUGGGUGAGCAUCUGGUUCGGCCUGGGCAUCUUCUCGGAGAACGUCGCUGCACUUGACUGUGUGGUGCGGUAUCCGAGACUUUUACUUUGAGAAAAUUAGAGUGUUUCAAGCAGGCACACGCCUUGAAUACAUUAGCAUGGAAUAAUAAUAUAGGACCUCGGUUCUAUUUUGUUGGUUUCUAGAGCUGAGGUAAUGAUUGAUAGGGAUAGUUGGGGGCAUUCGUAUUUAACUGUCAGAGGUGAAAUUCUUGGAUUUGUUAAAGACGGACUACU
This 346-nucleotide ribosomal RNA is filed under the name uncultured eukaryote. RNAcentral's name for it is "SSU rRNA". It matches the Rfam family "Eukaryotic small subunit ribosomal RNA", at positions 594 to 944 of the family's 1831-position model. The record is from RNAcentral.